GGAGCUUGCUCCUGGAUUCAGCGGCGGACGGGUGAGUAAUGCCUAGGAAUCUGCCUGGUAGUGGGGGAUAACGUUCCGAAAGGAACGCUAAUACCGCAUACGUCCUACGGGRGAAAGCAGGGGACCUUCGGGCCUUGCGCUAUCAGAUGAGCCUAGGUCGGAUUAGCUAGUUGGUGAGGUAAUGGCUCACCAAGGCGACGAUCCGUAACUGGUCUGAGAGGAUGAUCAGUCACACUGGAACUGAGACACGGUCCAGACUCCUACGGGAGGCAGCAGUGGGGAAUAUUGGACAAUGGGCGAAAGCCUGAUCCAGCCAUGCCGCGUGUGUGAAGAAGGUCUUCGGAUUGUAAAGCACUUUAAGUUGGGAGGAAGGGCUGUAGGCUAAUAUCCUGCGGUUUUGACGUUACCAACAGAAUAAGCACCGGCUAACUUCGUGCCAGCAGCCGCGGUAAUACGAAGGGUGCAAGCGUUAAUCGGAAUUACUGGGCGUAAAGCGCGCGUAGGUGGUUCGUUAAGUUGGAUGUGAAAGCCCCGGGCUCAACCUGGGAACUGCAUCCAAAACUGGCGAGCUAGAGUACGGUAGAGGGUAGUGGAAUUUCCUGUGUAGCGGUGAAAUGCGUAGAUAUAGGAAGGAACACCAGUGGCGAAGGCGACUACCUGGACUGAUACUGACACUGAGGUGCGAAAGCGUGAGGAGCAAACAGGAUUAGAUACCCUGGUAGUCCACGCCGUAAACGAUGUCAACUAGCCGUUGGAAUCCUUGAGAUUUUAGUGGCGCAGCUAACGCAUUAAGUUGACCGCCUGGGGAGUACGGCCSCAAGGUUAAAACUCMAAUGAAUUGACGGGGGCCCSCMCAAGCGG
Molecule: ribosomal RNA, 861 nt
Filed under: Ectopseudomonas oleovorans
Lineage: Bacteria; Pseudomonadati; Pseudomonadota; Gammaproteobacteria; Pseudomonadales; Pseudomonadaceae
Description: bacterial SSU rRNA
Rfam family: Bacterial small subunit ribosomal RNA
Source: RNAcentral